Molecule: ribosomal RNA, 293 nt
Filed under: uncultured bacterium
Lineage: Bacteria
Description: partial 16S ribosomal RNA
Rfam family: Bacterial small subunit ribosomal RNA
Source: RNAcentral
GUGUCAGCAGCCGCGGUAACACGUAGGGGGCGAGCGUUGUCCGGAUUUAUUGGGCGUAAAGAGCUCGUAGGCGGCUCGGUAAGUCGGGUGUGAAAACUCUAGGCUCAACCUAGAGACGCCACCUGAUACUGCUGUGGCUAGAGUCCGGUAGGGGAGCAUGGAAUUCCUGGUGUAGCGGUGAAAUGCGCAGAUAUCAGGAGGAACACCAGUGGCGAAGGCGGUGCUCUGGGCCGGUACUGACGCUGAGGAGCGAAAGCGUGGGGAGCAAACAGGAUUAGAUACCCGCGUAGUCC